GAUGAAGAACGCAGCGAAAUGCGAUAAGUAAUGUGAAUUGCAGAAUUCAGUGAACCAUCGAAUCUUUGAACGCACAUUGCGCCCGCCAGUAUUCUGGCGGGCAUGCCUGUCCGAGCGUCAUCUCAACCCUCGAGCCCCCCCGGGGGCUCGGCGUUGGGGACCGGCCCCGCCCCAGGGCGCGCCGCCCCCCAAAUCCAGUGGCGGUCCCGCCGCAGCCUCCCCUGCGCAGUAGCUUGCACACUCGCAACAGGAGCCCGGCGCGGUCCACUGCCGUAAAACCCCCCAACUUUUUAUAGUUGACCUCGAAUCAGGUAGGACUACCCGCUGAACUUAAGCAUAUCAAUAAGCGGAGGA
RNAcentral lists this unclassified non-coding RNA (354 nucleotides) under soil metagenome. RNAcentral describes it as "partial contains 5.8S ribosomal RNA, internal transcribed spacer 2, and large subunit ribosomal RNA". The stretch from base 1 to 120 matches the Rfam family "5.8S ribosomal RNA", at positions 35 to 154 of the family's 154-position model. The record is from RNAcentral.